Molecule: ribosomal RNA, 510 nt
Filed under: Triticum aestivum (bread wheat)
Lineage: Eukaryota; Viridiplantae; Streptophyta; Magnoliopsida; Poales; Poaceae
Description: partial small subunit ribosomal RNA
Source: RNAcentral
AUGCUUAUUGAUAUUGCAAUUGAGUCUAUAUAGGGUCUGCUUUCCUUUUUCAAGAAGUAUAGAGAAACUGGCAUUGCAAAAGCAUUGGAAGAUGCAAAAGAAAUUGCACUUGAGAUGGAUAUUCAUCCAGAGUUCCGCACCAAGCGGAAAAUCAAAAGAAGAAGACAAUUCGAUGAGGGCAUAGAUGAUGCAUCUAUUGUUUCACAAUCUGCAGAGGAAUCAUUUAGGGUGAAUUAUUUUCUGCAAGUGGUCGAUCAAGCUAUAGUUUCACUUACCAGGAGGUUUGAGCAAUACCAAGGGUAUGAAAAAACUUUUGGUUUCUUAUUUACUUCAGAUAGGCUGCGAUCUUUGGAUGAUAAGAGUUUGUUGGCUGCUUGUGUUAAUCUUGAGGAUGCACUUAAGAGUGGAGAACACAAAGACAUUGAUGGAGCUGAAUUGCUUUACGAGUUAAUUUUCAUCCAGGAUUUAUUAAGAAAUCUAUGGGCCCCGUUGAUAUUCUUGAGAUUCUGA